Molecule: unclassified non-coding RNA, 640 nt
Filed under: Zea mays
Lineage: Eukaryota; Viridiplantae; Streptophyta; Magnoliopsida; Poales; Poaceae
Description: misc RNA Zm00001eb420530
Source: RNAcentral
AGAUGGCUCAACUGCAAAAAAAUCUUUAUCCUUUCAUAGGCCUGGAAAAUGCUACGCACCGAUUUAUUACACCACCAGUAGUUCAGAAGCAAAAUAACAGUCAUGAUUGUGGUUUUCAUAUGCUUCUGUACAUAAAGCGAUAUGAGGAUCAAAACUACCAUAACAUUAGUGAGGACGAAGUCAUCAUGUGCCGCAUAGAGACUGCGAUGUUGCUCCUUAACAAUGAAGACAACAAGUGCAGGGACAAAUUUACAGAGAGCCAUGCAAUAACGAAAGAGCAAAAGAAAGAAAAGGUGAGAGACAAAGUUGACGACAAGAAAGGAGAUAGAAAAGAUGAGAGUUCAGACGAUGAUUAUGAGGACAAGUCUGAGGAGGAGGAGGAGGAGGAGGAGGAGGGGACAGGUGAUAAUGAGGAGAAGGGGAACAACAAUGGGGGCAAGGAUAAGAAGAAGAAAUCAAAGACAAAGAAAAAGAAAACCAAUAUCAAGGACUCUUUGAAAGUUUCUGUAAGGAGUAAAAUGACAAAAGGCUACAAACCCUGCGAUUUCAAGAUAGCAGAUAAUUGGACCCAGAAUUUGGGUAAUAAAGAACUGCGACAGCAACUCUCGAGAAAGAUAGUUGACAAUAAAGAUUAUAAGAG